RNAcentral lists this ribosomal RNA (253 nucleotides) under uncultured bacterium. Its description in RNAcentral is "partial 16S ribosomal RNA". It matches the Rfam family "Bacterial small subunit ribosomal RNA", at positions 524 to 776 of the family's 1533-position model. The record is from RNAcentral.
UACGGAGGAUCCAAGCGUUAUCCGGAUUUAUUGGGUUUAAAGGGUGCGUAGGCGGCCUAUUAAGUCAGUGGUGAAAGCCUGCAGCUUAACUGCAGAACUGCCAUUGAUACUGAUGGGCUUGAGUAUAGUUGAGGUUGGCGGAAUGUGUCAUGUAGCGGUGAAAUGCUUAGAUAUGACACAGAACACCGAUUGCGAAGGCAGCUAGCUAAACUAUAACUGACGCUGAGGCACGAAAGCGUGGGUAGCAAACAGG